UUUCGCAAUGCCCGAAAGGGUGACGAGGCGACGCCGCGUGAGCGAAGAAGGCCCUAGGGUUGUAAAGCUCUGACGGGGGUUAUGAAAUGUGGAUCGGUUAAUACCCGGUUUAUUCGACAAAGGCCCCAAAGGAAGCCACGGCUAACUCUGUGCCAGCAGCCGCGGUAAUACAGAGGUGGCAAGCGUUGUUCGGUAUUAUUGGGCGUAAAAAGCACGUAGGUGGUUUUGUAAGUCAGAUGUGAAAGCCUUCUGUUCAAAGGAAGAACGGCAUCUGAAACUGCGAAUCUUGAGUGUAGGAGGGGAGAGUGGAACUUCUGGUGGAGCGGUGAAAUGCGUAGAUAUCAGAAGGAACGUCGGCGGCGAAAGCGACUCUCUGGCCUAUUACUGACACUGAGUGUGCGAAAGUUAGGGGAGCAAACGGGAUUAGAUACCCCGGUAGUCCUAACUGUAAACGAUGGGCACUAAGUAGAGGGGUUUU
This 478-nucleotide ribosomal RNA is filed under the name uncultured bacterium. RNAcentral describes it as "bacterial SSU rRNA". It matches the Rfam family "Bacterial small subunit ribosomal RNA", at positions 364 to 832 of the family's 1533-position model. The record is from RNAcentral.